This 479-nucleotide ribosomal RNA is filed under the name uncultured bacterium. Its description in RNAcentral is "SSU rRNA". It matches the Rfam family "Bacterial small subunit ribosomal RNA", at positions 26 to 523 of the family's 1533-position model. The record is from RNAcentral.
AGGACGAACGCUGGCGGCGCGCCUAAAACAUGCAAGUCGAACGAGAAAUCCGGGCUUGCCCGGGUGGACAGUGGCGAACGGGUGAGUAACACGUGAGGAACCUGCCCCGAAGACCGGGACAACAUCGGGAAACCGUUGCUAAUACCGGAUACCUUCGCUUGAUCGCAUGGUCGAGCGAAGAAAUGGAUUCCGCUUCGGGAUGGCCUCGCGGCCUAUCAGCUUGUUGGUGAGGUAACGGCUCACCAAGGCAACGACGGGUAGCUGGUCUGAGAGGAUGUCCAGCCACACUGGGACUGAGACACGGCCCAGACUCCUACGGGAGGCAGCAGUUAGGAAUCUUGCGCAAUGGGCGAAAGCCUGACGCAGCGACGCCGCGUGCGGGAUGAAUGCCUUCGGGUUGUAAACCGCUUUCAGCAGGGACGAAAUUGACGGUACCUGCAGAAGAAGCCCCGGCAACUACGUGCCAGCAGCCGCGGUAA